UACAUAAAUAUAUCUUAUCCACAUAGUCGCUCAUUGAGGAACUGGAUUUAUCUAAUGAGUAUAGGUAAAAUGGUUUUUUAUAUUGGAUUUAUCAAUGCAAUGAAUUGUUUCAUCAUAAGACCGAUCCCUAAUUAAAUUGAUGAGCCCCAUCCUAACGAAAUGAAUUUGAUUCAUACAUGUACACACACGAAUUGAACAUAGAUACAUUCACCGAAUCAUUGAUAAAGCAAUUCUACUUGGCGAGGAAAAAAUUUUCAAUAACUUGUUGAUCCCUAUCCCCAGAUUUUUAAAUUUAUCGUUUUUGAAUUUCUUGGCUUAGUGUGAGAUCGAAAUAUACCUAACCUAAUCUUAACAAUGAGUGAAUCAAUGAGUGAAAGUAUGAGAAAUGGAGUUUAAUCCUGUUUAUAGCAUAUGACAGACCAAUCACUUCCCGAAGGGUACUAGCCUUCGUAUUAUUUAAAUAAAAAAAGAAUAUUUUUUUUGAAUAUUUAUUAUUUUUGUUUAUUUUAGACGUUUCUUCUAAUCACUACUAAUCACUAUUUUCAUUUGAUAUUCUAUAAUAAGUAAUAUAACUAUAUAUUCCAAUUUGCAAAUUUAUGUAUAUUAUUUAAAUUAAAUAAAUAAAAAAA
RNAcentral lists this long non-coding RNA (629 nucleotides) under Cucumis sativus (cucumber). RNAcentral's name for it is "long non-coding RNA (CSAT_LNC003025)". Lineage: Eukaryota; Viridiplantae; Streptophyta; Magnoliopsida; Cucurbitales; Cucurbitaceae. The record is from RNAcentral.